CCAAGUGCUCAACCGUGAUCCACAAAGCGCUCACAGGAUUGAUGGUGACAAAUGGCCUUAUCCUGGUGGAAACGGACACUACACCCCAUUGCCUGAUUGAGGACGGGAGUGGAGACACCAUUGGAAAUGUAGGUGCCAGACAGGGCAGAGAUUCUCCUCCCAAAGUUGGUGAGCAGAAUCCCACCCGGUACUCAGCUGGGCUCCUGAUUCCAGGCACGGACCACCUGGUGAGCA
This 234-nucleotide long non-coding RNA is filed under the name Ictidomys tridecemlineatus (thirteen-lined ground squirrel). RNAcentral describes it as "lncRNA (ENSSTOG00000034777.1)". The record is from RNAcentral. Lineage: Eukaryota; Metazoa; Chordata; Mammalia; Rodentia; Sciuridae.